AAGUCGUAACAAGGUUUCCGUAGGUGAACCUGCGGAAGGAUCAUUACAACGUAUCCACGUAUCAAACUCGCGAACUGUCCCCUUUAGAGUAAACAAUUGUGGAUGAAGUUAAUGGCUGAUUGAUUCUCGCUGAUGGAGUUCACGGAUUUUUAUCUGAGAACUGAGAGUCUCUUGGUCGCUGGCCAAAGCGCUUGCGCUUCGACUGGGACUUCGUUUACUCUACUGCGGUUUUUACCAUCGGCGCCUGUUUUACCCAUUAUUAACCCUUUGAAAACUUUGAACUGAACUUGGAGAUCGGCUACGGCUAUCCCUUUGAUGGCUCCGGUCACGGGCAGCUUAACGUAGCCUGUUUUCCUCAUUACGAAACAAAAGAACAACUCUUAGCAACGGAUAUCUUGGUUCUC
RNAcentral lists this unclassified non-coding RNA (404 nucleotides) under fungal sp. RNAcentral's name for it is "partial internal transcribed spacer region". The stretch from base 1 to 46 matches the Rfam family "Eukaryotic small subunit ribosomal RNA", at positions 1786 to 1831 of the family's 1831-position model. The record is from RNAcentral. Lineage: Eukaryota; Fungi.